This 479-nucleotide ribosomal RNA is filed under the name uncultured bacterium. RNAcentral describes it as "partial 16S ribosomal RNA". It matches the Rfam family "Bacterial small subunit ribosomal RNA", at positions 28 to 507 of the family's 1533-position model. The record is from RNAcentral.
GAUGAACGCUAGCGGCAGGCCUAACACAUGCAAGUCGAGGGAGAAGCCCUUUCGGGGGCAGAAACCGGCGCACGGGUGCGUAACGCGUAUGCAACCUACCUUUCACAGGGGGAUAGCCCGAAGAAAUUUGGAUUAAUACCCCAUAAUAUUAUUGGAUGGCAUCAUUUGAUAAUUAAAACUGCGGUGGUGAAAGAUGGGCAUGCGUCCUAUUAGCUAGUUGGAGUGGUAACGGCACCCCAAGGCUACGAUAGGUAGGGGUCCUGAGAGGGAGAUCCCCCACACUGUGAAGAGGAAAGGGGACAGAACGCCUGGGGGAGGAAGAAGGGAGGAAUAUUGGUAAAUGGUGGAAAACUUAAACCAGCCAGGCGGGGGGAAGAAAAAUUGCUUUAGGGUUUUAAAACUGUUUUUAAAGGGGAAAAAUAAGGUGUAGGUUUACAUUAUUGGCGGAACAAUAUAAAUAAGAACCGCCAAACCCGGUC